RNAcentral lists this long non-coding RNA (2349 nucleotides) under Zea mays. Its description in RNAcentral is "long non-coding RNA (ZMAY_LNC003315)". The record is from RNAcentral. Lineage: Eukaryota; Viridiplantae; Streptophyta; Magnoliopsida; Poales; Poaceae.
GCGACCGGAGCUCGCACAACAGACCCCGCGCAGAUUGCGCGUGCCGUUGCAACCAACUCGGUGCGCUAGCUGCGUGGUGAGUCGGCAUCGGGGUAUAAAGACGGGGCUACCCUCGACGACCAUCGCGGCCGCGACACCAACCAGACCACCAUGCGCCAUACCCAACGGAAACUAGGCCACUGCGGCUACCUCUCGAGCUCGCUAUCGCCAGCGUUCAUGGAAGGGCUGGGAAGGACCCCCAUGCCAUGUGGAUCGUGCGCGGGCAGCUAAUCAGGCUCGGGGAGUCGGAGGUCGGCGACAAUUCCUCACCAAGAAAUCAGCGCCGCCGUAGAUCCGCCGAGAGCUGAGGCCAGCAACCUCUGUGUGCAAGAUUCUCGGUAAUCUUCCCCUCCGUAUGGUCGCAGAUGUCUCCUCUUCGCGUAGCUGCGGUCCAAUUUAUGUGGGCGUGCGUGUGUGCCCAACGUGCAUCGCUCCGGCGAGGCCCCGUCUCUACGACCUCUGCACCGCCGUCAUAGGUGUCGGGGUUGGGGAAGAGUGGGGCGACCGUGGAUCUUCGGUUGUGCGAUUCAGAUUAGAUGUGGGCAGAUCCGUUAAACGAUGGGGUGGAGUAGAUCAGGCCAGCACUAAAUCCCGGGCAUAGAUCUUGAAUCCUACAGUGGCUGUCUUAUAUCGAGUUGAGCUUAGAUCUGGACUGCGGAUGUCCGAUCGAACAACGCUGAUCAGACGAAGUCUACCGGUUCGCCUAGAUCUAAUCAGUGCCCUAAAUUCUAGAUCGGGCGGCUGAGAUAAACCAGUACCCCUUUAGCUCGGCCAGUUUGCUAAAGAGCCCCUGUGGAAAUUGUGAAUUAACCCGCAGUCCAUCCCUAUAUUAGGAUCGUUACAUAAUUGUCCAAACAUUUGUAAAAGUAACCUUGCGCUCUUAUAAAAUUGUGGCCGCAACCCACUGGUCUCGGUUAGUUGGUAAUAAUUAAUUUAAAAAAGAUAUUUGAUAUAGAAAUAAAUCUAGAAAUCUAUAAAAUUCAUGAUUCCUUUAUUUUAACUCCAAUUUAAUUCAUUCCAGUUGCAUUAAAUUUAUAAUAACAUUGUUUAUCAUCUGGUAACCUUAGUUUGUUAUGAAACCUAGAUAAAAAAUGCACUUAGUUUCUUUCAUAUCCAACACUUAAAUCUUCAGAAAACCAUAACUCUUUAACCGUAACUCUAAAUUUAGUGGUUCUCGAACCUAGGUUCUCGCUACAACGCAUAGAUCAUUAUUAUGCAGUUUGUUCUUAUGUUUAGUGUGAUGUUAAUUUUGCCUAUACCAUGUUUGUUUGUAUUGCUACGAAUAGCAGCAUGGUUGCAAAUCACUUGAAGACCAACUGAGUACCUGGGAGUCUCGAGUCUAAGGCAAGUUGUGCCCUUGAUCACUCUUCUUUACCUAAUAAUGUUCUGGUUAAUCACUGUGACAUGCUCAGGUUAAUUUGGUGGGACCUAAUAGGUUUCCCAAGCCUUGCAAACAUAUGAACUAUUGGGUAGAUUUGGUUUUGCUCUACCUGGUUUUGGGAAAUUAAUGUUAUACUGUGAUCAUGUUCCAAUUAUAUUGUUGUUUAAUUAUUGUUCAUGAAAAGAUUAUUGUGUCAAUUGGAACAUGGAGCUUAACUUGAGAUCACAGUGCUACCACAAGGGUGGAACUAGUGGAACUUUGGAAAGGCCUCGUUGUGCUACCCUGCCUCUCUUCCUCGCUAGAGGUGUAUGGGGUUUGAUCAACCCCGUGGAAAAUGGGUAACACGACUUGUGGGUAAAGAUGUGUAACCUCUAUAGAGUGUAAAACUGGUAUAUCUGUCGUGCUCACGGUCAAGAGCGACUCAUGACUCUCUCAUGAUUAAUUUAUGGAACUAAACUUAAUCUAUCAUAUGCAUUGCAUCACGAGUGUUAUUAUCAAUUGUGAUAUCUUAUUUAGUUGGGUUGGUAUCUACUUAUACCUAGUAACUGUUAAUAAAAUUUUGACCAACUUUAAAAGCAAUGCUCAGCUUUAACCAUCUCCUUUUGUAAGCCUUACACUUCACAUGAGCUCCCACCCUUGGUGAGUUCAUGAACAUUAUUCCCCGCAACUUGUUGAGCAAUGAACGUAUGUGAGCUCACCCUUGCUAUACUCACAUCCCCCCAGGUCAAGAACAGGUACCACUGGACGAGGCACAUGAAGGAUGCUGUGAUGAGUUCGUGAGUGGUCUAGGCUGUCGUCUCGCAGUCAACUUUGGGUUGCUGGAUCGUUGUCUUCGUAUGAUGUAAUUAUUUAACUAUUUUGUACAGAACUCCAUUAUAUAUUAAAGAUGUGACAUUCAUUUCUGUACCGUGAAUCAUCAUAUGUGUGAG